GGGGGGGGGGAUAUAGGGGAACGAUCCCUGACAGAAAUAGGGGCCGAUACUAGGAACUUCUACUCUGAAGGAAGUCCCGUCGACUUCAGUUGGACUCCACCUUCAAACAAUUGUACCUUGCAGAGCAAUCCUGUGUAUGCCUACUCAGAAGUAAGCCCCCCUGAACUCAGAGAGGCUUACUCCCGGGUAAGUGGGCACAGGAGUUGCCGUCUUACUCGCUUUUAAAGCUCUGUGAUUUCAAGAGGAGAAAGGGCAAGUGGAUCGAUUUCUCCCGCUGAGACCCUAUAAAACUUAAAAGGUGUUUAAUCGCGGCUCUUAAUGUUAGGAACAAGGCCAUGCGUAUGUAUGGAUAGAUGAUAGAUAGAUAGAUAUAAAAGUUUUUGACACAAAGAUCCACAAUUCAGUAAAGCCUAAAGUCUGGCUUCUGGCUUCCUCUUUAAAACCGGAUUGUAGACCUCAACCCAACGCAAAGCUUGAGGGGUUUGGGGUUUCUGUGAAUGGGGGGCAAGGAGUAAUUAAUGUUUGACUGAUUAAAAUCCUCAUGUUGCGGCUUAGCUGGAUUGUGGAUCGCGCCGCUUGCAGAAAACACACAAUAUCUACCCGCCGCCGCACCACAUUUCCGGGACCGACAAAAAGGUUGCAUCACGGCCAGGGCUUUAAACCUUAGCAAAGAAUACGUAGAAAGCAAUAUAUAAACAUAUUGAACAGCACGAUCAUUGAACGCAAAUCGGUCUGAAGAGUCUCCUGCCCUAUAUAUUUAUAUUGGACCAGACCGAGGAACGCUGGAGAAGGUCACGGUUCUCUCUCCUUAGCUUCCCACCCCCACCCCUCUUUUCCAGGCUUGUUAUUAAGAAAGCGCCUUGUUGGUUCCUUCCACUAGAUAUUCUCCAACCACACCCGAAGAAAUACGGCCGUUCUCGGGUGGUGGUGGUGGUGGGAAUGUUUAUUCUCCGAGGGCAAAAAGCACAGAGGCGCGUUUCUGAAACGUAAGCAGUUCUCUUCUAUCUGGAAACCAUCUUGCUGGGCACGAGACAACUUCUUCCUAAAAUGGGUAGAAAAAUAAUAAUCUCGGGAUCCGCAUCAGGAUAGCUCAAGGGGAGAUAAAUCACGAGAGGUUUGUGUUAUUUGUGUGGGGCCGGGUGUGUGUCUAUGUAUGUUUACCUGUCGGUAUCCAUGGCUGCAUGCAUUCGCUCCUCAGCGUGGAUAAUAGAUGUUUCCCAGCCCAAACUCAGAUUUCAGACAUUCUGCUCCUCAGUCCUCUUAACACGUUUCCUGGAAAGUAACCCCAUUUAUUUCCAGAGAACUUACUGCCGGGUAUGCGUGCAUCCGGAUCUUGAAGCAGAGUAUUGUGGAAAACCCGCCCCUUUACUUUCCAGCGAGGCUUAGGCUAGACUCCUACACCAGCUUUACCUGGGAGUAAGCCCCAUUAAACUUGGUGGGAUUUGCUUCUAAGCAGGCAGUUGUUCCACUCGGUUUGGUUAGCACUGAGGUAGCCCUUCUCCCUGCUUGGAAUGGAGCAGGAGCAGGAUCAUGGCCCUUGACUUACACGAGGCUGAAAGAUGGUUAUUAGAUGGCAUUGAAACCUAUGAGAUUCUACGGUGUUUAGGACAGGAUUCCGCACUUUUAGCGUGAUGGAUCAGGCCGUGUGUAUUUGGGGUUUCUUCAGACGUUAUGUUAGGGUCUUCUCAGGACACGAUCCUCCUUGACUUAAGCAUUUUAAGUUGCUUGGUGUCAAUGCGGGAGUGAAACUCUCUCAAUGCCUAAUUUUUCCUGCCUGAGCUCAUUUCCUGAUUGAGUUAGUAGAUAUUCUAAGUUACUGUUAUUAUUUUAAAAUAGACCCUCCUCUAUAUUUUCCACAUAAGCUAUUUCCACCCACCUCUGGGAAGAUGAUAAAAGUGAGAGGUCUCCACUCCUGUGUAUGUGUGCGCCAUUUUUACAGUAGUUUUCACCACAAAUCUAGCGUACCUGGCCUGGAUCCACGGAAACUUUUAUUAUUUUAAAAAAAUCGAUCCAAUAAUUUCGGCUUAAAUGUAUCAAUCCGUGUGCUCAGUAUUGCUGGAGGAGCAUGGUCUAUUUGUGUGGGUACUGUUGACUACAUAGCAUAGGUGACCAAACUCAAAAGGGUAUAGAUAUGUUUGUAUGACAUGAUGUAAUUGUGCCAGAGUGUCUGUGCCUCAAUGUACAGAUGCCUAUUUGUAUAUGUGUGUGUGCAUCUCCACUGAAGGUCAUUUAUGCCUGUGUGUCUACCGUCUAGGUGUAUAUUUGAGGGCAUAAACCUGCUAAAUGAAAAUAAAUUGGGAGCUGCAGCUAAUUUGUACAUGAUUAGAGCCCUAACUGGUUUGUGAUUCUUCCUUCCUUUUGAAUUUUAGAUUGGAUUGAUUUGUUCAUUUAUUAAAAUAUGCAUAUAUCACCUGUUAGGCCAACAUUUCAAGGAGGUGUACAGUAGUAUUAUAAAAGGCAAUGUCCGUGUACCUAUACCUAUACAAUUUACAUCAAGCCCAGUCAGUCAGCAUUCUACAGCUGCUUAGCAAAGAAAUGACCACAGCCAGGCCAACAAGGACAUUUUAGAGAGUAUCAAUGUUGGUGGCUGCCUUAGUUCUGGAGAGAGGCCAUCCCAGAGUUUGGAUGCCAUGCAGAACAGGCCUUCUUGCUGGUUGUUGCCAGAUGGCCAUCUGCAGGCUGAGCCACAACCUGGAAGGCCUUUGAUGAUGAUUUCCGUAACUGGGAAGAUCUGCAUUGGUAACCUGGUCUCCAACUGCUUAGGAUCUUAUACGCUCUAUUAAAACCUUAAACCUAACCUGGUAGCAAACAGGUGUACUAGUAGGUAUGUCUACCUGAGAGAGGCCUGCAGGGCACAAACAUGCAUUUUCUGUUGUGCCUGUGUGUUACUGCUAGCUGGUAUCACAACCAUAGAUACCACUUGUCACCACAAUCCGAGGCAUACUUUCUUAGAUGUAAGCGGUUCCUACAUGUACUACUAUAUCAACAUUUGAUUAGCAUGCAUUUCUGAUACAUGGUAAGUGAAAGUGUGAACUGACUAUUGAAAAGUAUUGUGUUUAAGGUAGCCUGGGGAGAAUGGGGAAAGUUCUGUUUGGCGUGUGAUAUCUAUAGUGGCCAUUCACACACAGGAGGCAACACCAGAUGUUUCAGACUUUGAGUGAACCAGUCCUAUGAUGUGUGAUAGGUUGUGUGAACUAGCCUUAAGGCCCUUCCACAAAGGCGUGGGUCUCCCCUCCACAUGUCACAGAAUCAUGGAGUUGGAAAGGAUCAUCUGGCCCAACCCCUGCAAUGCAGAUGUCCUAUAGGGGGAUAGGACCAGCUACUUUGGUGUUAUCAGCACUACGCUCUAACCAACUGAGCUAUCCAAUUAUCUUUUCCCUUCUGCUUGGAUCAAGGACUGCAAAGAACAAUUCAUACUUGAAGAAAAUCCAGGGCAAAAAUUCCGCAGUGUGGAUGGGCUAGAGUUGCUCCUUAACCCCUCACUUAAAAAUAAAUACUGCUAGGAAGCCAAUGCCAUUGGAACUAACUUUCUCCCGUGUCCAGGGGUUCCAGGUUCAAACCCAUUCCCUGUGUGCCAUUCAACCUCAGUGGUCCUGAGUACCAGUUGGGCACGAGUGCCUUUGGAUCCAGUGGGCUGGCGUUUCACCCCUCUAGCCACCUCUUCCCAAAAAGUUCUCAUGGACAUCAGGAGGAUGUGCCUAUGAAAACUUACUGGGCCACGUUUUGCAAGGAUCGCGUGACGUUCCGUGGAGGUUUGGCUUGGCCCGCGUUUGUCACGGAGAGGGAAUUCCUUGCAAGACUCCUCGGGAACGUCUGGCAGAGUCGAGCUCUAAAAAUCAAAUGUCUGGCUGCAGAUGUUUGGGAAGAGAGACACUCGCCCCUCUUCCCCUCCGCGUGGUGUGCUGAAUCAAGCACAGCUCCAGGGCCUGCGAUCGCAUGGCCUGUACAUGCUUCUUCCUUCCUGUGCGAGUGCGAUUGCUAUGCUAUGUGCGCGCCUGCGUCUAUCUAUAUCUUUUUAGAUCGGUCGAUCGAGAUAGAUAGAUAGAUAGAUAGAUAGAUGAUAGAUAGAUGGCAUGGGACUUUUUUGGGUGAAGAGAAAAAGAGAGAAAGAGAGGGAGGUAAACAACUCUUCUUCCUUCUAAACAGUGAAGCCGGGGAAGACCACACGUCCACAAUCUAACUUGUUACAUUAAAUAUACUACCUCCCACACAGACACAGAGUGGGUGUUAUCAGAUCAGACCGAUUGGGGGAAACAAGGAGAUACAAGGGGGGGUGGGCAUUCCUGAAAUGCUCCUUCUUCAUUCCUAAAAUCCCAUUAGUCUCUGCGGGUCAAGCAGCCACGUCUGACGUUUGUUACGAAACAGCUUGUCCGUGUUCCGCCUGGAUCUUUCAAAAGCCAUUCAUCCUUCUUCGACUCCCUGACCCUUUUGUCCGGAUGAGCCCCACAUACUUCUAGCCAAGGGGGCAGAGAGAGGGGGCGGGAGGAGGGUGCUGCUGACCUGGAGACACCUUUGCAGCUGGAUCCGGCCUGGUUUUAGGCACAGCCGUUGUAAGAAGACUCUCCCCGCACCAAAUGGGGCGAACACCCGUCCUUCGCCCUGUUUUUUUGUUUUUUUAAAAAAACCCUUCCAGUUUCUCUCCGCCCCCCGCUUUUGCUAUUGCUUCAUCUUUAGUCUUUUUUGGACUUAUCUGUCUUCGGUCUUCCUCUCUUCUGUCUCUGGCUGGUUACUCGCUGCAGAUAUUAGCCGGCAGCGAUUCUCUGUGACGACCUGCCAGAGAGUCCU
This 4785-nucleotide long non-coding RNA is filed under the name Podarcis lilfordi (Lilford's wall lizard). The record is from RNAcentral. Lineage: Eukaryota; Metazoa; Chordata; Lepidosauria; Squamata; Lacertidae.